UCAUUAUAGUGUCUUGUAAUGAAGACGUAUAAGUAUGUCGUAUACGUAUUACAAUGUAUUGUCAUGUUAUUCAUAUAUCAAUAUGUAUAUGAUUGGAUUGAAUUACAAUACAGUUUGGCAGGUGUAAGACUUUUCUGUUUGUAACAAUUGAAGUUUUGCAAUGGCACUCUUCCUCUGCUCAAUGACUGUUCUUCUGAUACGGAAUCCUUUCACCUGCUUGGGCAAUCACAAUAAAUUACAGGAGGGAGAAAUUUGGACAUUGGACAAUUUAUCUAGUUAUCAUUGAAACAUUAUUACAACAUUUCAAAGUAAAGCUCUUCAGAUCAAUGAAUCCUCCUGCUGUUCAUAAUUUCUUUAGGUGUUUAAUUGUUUGAUGUGUAUCUAAUUAGUUAAUUGCACAAGCCACAGCUUUGCUGAGAAAGUUCAUGGGAAUCAUGUUUAAAAGGUGAUUUCAGUGAAUUUCUAUCUGUUCUCUAACCUGUUGGAUUUGUAUUGAAACAGUAAGAGGUUAAAGUGCACAGUCAUCUGUCAUUUUUGGGUAUUUUCAUCUAUAAACUUUGAACUGUUUAGGAAUUGCAGUCUCUUUUAUACACAGUACCCACAUUUUCGAAGAGCGAAUGUAAUUUGACAUUUAACAAUCCUAAAUUCAUCAGAUAGCUGCCUGAAGUCUUCGACCCCUAGACAUCACAAGACUCUGGGUAUCUUCUCUGGUGAUGAUCUGCGAAGCCUGGACUGCAGCCAUCUUCACUUCCUGUUUGUUUCGGAAAUGUUUUUCCUUCAGUCUUGACUUCGGCAAGUGAAACACACCCAAUUUGAUUCAGGUUGGAAAUCCAGCUAGCAUGUGUACUUUUACUUCCUUACAUCCUUAAAUUCACCCCUGCAGAAUAGUUCUGGAAGUCUCUGAAUAUAUAACUGUUAUUAUAUUGCAUGAGAAACAAAUCCCAUCCCCUUAAACUUUGGGUAAAUCAGUUAUUCAAUUACCAAAAACAACCACUAUUUUGAUGUUUUUGGAUCGUCCAACAAUCUAAUGGCGUCGUUAAAAAAAACGGUCUAGAAAAUCUCCUUGUUUAUAAAAGUAUUUGUUUUAUGUCAUAUCACACAAUCAAAAUUGGUGGAUUGACACAUUUUUAUUUAGAUUUUUGCAAAUAGAAAAAUGUUAUCCACUUGAACCUGCCAACUAAGGUUGAACACAUAUUUCAGAUGUAUAGAUGAACGCAGUUUGUGUGGCCUAUGACCAAUGUUAAAGACUUUAUUAAAGAUGCAUGCAAAAUAUUUUCACUUUCCUUGAUAAAUCUUAACAUAAUUAAUCAAAUUAUUAAAAUGUAAUAAUUAAUGACCUUUUGACUAAAGUAAAGGUUGUACAAGUAGGUCAACUAAUAUUCCAAUAAUAGGCAUGCAUACAGUGGUGUGUAUACCAUAAUUUACAAAGUUAUUAAAGAUGUAUGGCAUUUUUUAUGGAAAUAAAUUAUUAAUGAAUAAAUAAAUGUUCCCCUAAAACAAAGGUUGUUCAAGAAGGCCAGCUACAACUAGACAACUAUGCAUCAACGUUGAUGUGUCUAUGACCAUGUUUGAAAUAGAAUACCACUGAAUUUAAUGACUUUGGUCAUUAAUGGUUGUUAAUAAAAGAGAUCUUGUUGUUUUGUGAUACAAAUGUAAUUAGUAAAUGUAGUAGUUGUGGUAUAGUGAAAUGCCCAUUUAAACGUCAAUACAAACCUUUUUG
This is a long non-coding RNA of Esox lucius (northern pike), 1720 nucleotides long. Lineage: Eukaryota; Metazoa; Chordata; Actinopteri; Esociformes; Esocidae. The record is from Ensembl.